Molecule: ribosomal RNA, 1196 nt
Filed under: Candidatus Nomurabacteria bacterium GW2011_GWB1_35_20
Lineage: Bacteria; Candidatus Nomuraibacteriota
Description: bacterial SSU rRNA
Rfam family: Bacterial small subunit ribosomal RNA
Source: RNAcentral
GCCAGCAGGAGCGGUAAUACGAGAGCCUCGAGCGUUAUCCGGAAUUAUUGGGCGUAAAGGGUGCGUAGGUUGUUCUGUUAGUCUUUUGUUAAAGACCCGGGCUUAACCUGGAGACCGCAAAAGAAACGGCAGAACUUGAAAGUGCGAGAGGCGUACGGAACUCAUGGUGUAGGGGUGAAAUCCGUUGAUAUCAUGGGGAACACCAAAUGCGAAAGCAGUACGCUGGUGCAUAUUUGACACUGAAGCACGAAAGCGUGGGUAGCGAAUGGGAUUAGAUACCCCAGUAGUCCACGCCCUAAACGAUGAUUUCUCGCUAUUCGGAGUAUCGACCCUCUGAGUGGCUUAGCUAACGCGUUAAGAAAUCCGCCUGGGAAGUACGGCCGCAAGGCUAAAACUCAAAGGAAUAGACGGGGACUUGCACAAGCAGUGGAUUAUGUGGUUUAAUUCGAUGGUAAACGAAGAACCUNAAGUACGGCCGCAAGGCUAAAACUCAAAGGAAUAGACGGGGACUUGCACAAGCAGUGGAUUAUGUGGUUUAAUUCGAUGGUAAACGAAGAACCUUACCAAGGUUAGAAAUCCUAGUGAAAGCUCGCAGAAACGCGAGGCCUCGCAAGACUCUAGGACAGGUGAUGCAUGGCCGUCGUCAGUUCGUGGUUUGAAUUGUUCCCUUAAGUGGGGUAACGAACGCAACCCUUGUUGUGUGUUAUAAGUGUCACACGAUACUGCCCCGAACUUUGAGCACAAGCUAAAGUUCUAGUUAAAAGUUUUUAAAGUUCAUGAAGUAUAAAGUAAAUGCAUUUUGUAUUCAACUUUAUAAAUUUCUACUUUUUACUUUAUAACUUGAACUUUGUUUGCGAACAAAGUUCGGGGAGGAAGGAGAGGAUGACGCCAGGUCAGCAUGUCCCUUGAUACCUUGGGCUACACACAUAAUACAAUGACCGUUACAACGCGCAGCGACGAGGCGACUCUGAGCUAAUCGUUCAAAAGCGGCCUCAGUUCGGAUUGAAGUCUGCAACUCGACUUCAUGAAGCUGGAAUUGCUAGUAAUCACAGGUCAGCUAAACUGUGGUGAAUACGUUCUCAAGUCUUGUACUCACCGCCCGUCAAGUCAAGGGAGCCGGGAUAAGGUAAGCUCGGUGACAGGGACUAAGUCGUAACAAGGCACGGCUAGCGGAAGCUGGUCGUGGAAUAAUUCAA